ACAAUUUUUCAAAUUAAAAAUAUACUGGAUCAGCAUCCAAAAAAAUAUUCUCUAAAAAAAUUAUGUCGAAUUUAUCAGCUAGCAUGACAAAAAUUGAUAAAUUCAUAUAAUUGAUUGUUUAGGGAUUAAACACUACUUCUACUAAUCCCCAACCAACCGACCAUUGACAUCUUUCUGGACAGGUGCCACACCAUGAAGGAGUCGAGCUCACUAUAAAAGUUCCAAUUCCACCACUUACAAGGGUAGCAAGAACAUCAGAGAGAAAUCACACCAUCGUUCGUCCAAUUUCAUACCCAAAUAAUCGAUUCCCCAUCCGAGCAUGUCAUCAAACAUUGGUGAACCUGACAUGAAUGAUUCUGUUCAAAAAAAUGUAGCAAAUCUAAUCCCAGAGCGAGAAAUCCCAGUCUCGUUCUUAGGGAAAAAACAGGCGGUACCGGAGCGAUUAUCGACGAGGAAGAACACUCACCAAAACUCAGGGAAAUGAUAGAAGAGGAACCAGGAAAACCUGACCUAGAGAAAAUUCCAGAAACCAGGAGAAAACGCGGAAGGGAGGCCGAACCCAACCCAAGCUUCGACCCACUCGACACCGGUGGAGAAGAAAAGAAAUCUUACAGCGAGAAAAGAUUUUACGGAAGCUGGCAAAAUUAAAAAAACAAAUAAAACUUCUAUCUCAAGCAGGGCAGGUAGCGAAAAUUAACCAAGGACUGAGCACGAGCUCACCUAAGUCGUGGUCAAAGGUCCAGACCCAGUGGCCC
Molecule: long non-coding RNA, 755 nt
Filed under: Zostera marina
Lineage: Eukaryota; Viridiplantae; Streptophyta; Magnoliopsida; Alismatales; Zosteraceae
Description: long non-coding RNA (ZMAR_LNC005271)
Source: RNAcentral